This 455-nucleotide ribosomal RNA is filed under the name Pseudomonas sp. SKVTC7. Its description in RNAcentral is "partial 16S ribosomal RNA". The record is from RNAcentral. Lineage: Bacteria; Pseudomonadati; Pseudomonadota; Gammaproteobacteria; Pseudomonadales; Pseudomonadaceae.
UGGUGGGAAGUACCGGUCGCCAAGAUCUAGAAACCUCUAAUGAGAUUUUGAACCGGGGGCCGCCACAUAGCCGGUGGAAGCUUUGGUUGUUUAUAUUUUCCAAUGCCAACGGCCAAGAACCCUAACCCUGCCUCUGGAACCUUGCUACUGAGACCUUCCCGAAAAUUGAAUUGGUUCCUCUCCGGAACCUCGAGACACAGGUCCGCCUUGCCGGUCUCCGCCUCUGUCUUAAAAUUUGGGGUAAGUUCCCUCACCAACCCCACCCUGUUCCUAAUUACCCACCACUUAUUGUUGGCACCUCUAAGAAAACCGCCGUUACCAACCCGAAGAAAGGUGGGAAUACCUUCAGGUCUUCUUGGCCCUACCGGCCAUGGCCUCCCACCCGUUACUACCAAUUGUUACGGAUACCGAAAGGGCUCUGGCCAACGCCCCGGCCGAACGGUGGGUAGGCCUAU